GUCCACGCCGUAAACGAUGAGUGCUAGGUGUUGGAUCCUUCCGGGAUUCAGUGCCGCAGCUAACGCAUUAAGCACUCCGCCUGGGAGUACGACCGCAAGGUUGAAACUCAAAGGAAUUGACGGGGCCCGCACAAGCGGUGGAGCAUGUGGUUUAAUUCGAAGCAACGCGAAGAACCUUACCAGGUCUUGACAUCCCGAUGCUAUUUCUAGAGAUAGAAGUUACUUCGGUACAUCGGUGACAGGUGGUGCAUGGUUGUCGU
RNAcentral lists this ribosomal RNA (260 nucleotides) under uncultured bacterium. Its description in RNAcentral is "partial 16S ribosomal RNA". It matches the Rfam family "Bacterial small subunit ribosomal RNA", at positions 793 to 1055 of the family's 1533-position model. The record is from RNAcentral.